Molecule: ribosomal RNA, 320 nt
Filed under: uncultured Pseudomonadota bacterium
Lineage: Bacteria; Pseudomonadati; Pseudomonadota
Description: bacterial SSU rRNA
Rfam family: Bacterial small subunit ribosomal RNA
Source: RNAcentral
AUUGAACGCUGGCGGUAUGCUUAACACAUGCAAGUCGAACGGUAACAGGCCUUCGGGCGCUGACGAGUGGCGGACGGGUGAGUAACGCGUAGGAAUCUGCCUUAUAGUGGGGGACAACGUGGGGAAACUCACGCUAAUACCGCAUACGCCCUACGGGGGAAAGCGGGGGAUCUUCGGACCUCGCGCUAUCAGAUGAGCCUGCGUUAGAUUAGGCUAGUUGGUGGGGUAAAGGCCUACCAAGGCGACGAUCUAUAGCUGGUCUGAGAGGAUGACCAGCCAGACUGGAACUGAGAUACGGUCCAGACACCUACGGGUGGCUG